This 2200-nucleotide long non-coding RNA is filed under the name Hordeum vulgare. RNAcentral describes it as "long non-coding RNA (HVUL_LNC005731)". Lineage: Eukaryota; Viridiplantae; Streptophyta; Magnoliopsida; Poales; Poaceae. The record is from RNAcentral.
CUUCCAAAGGAUGCAAGUGAGAGAAAGAGGGAUUCUGCUGAUAGAAGAGACAUAGCAAAGAUGGGAAUGACGAUAGAUCAAGGCAAAUUACCAAGAGCUCAGCUAGCCACAGCAGUAGAAGGUCACGGUCACCAAAUGGGAGAAGCCGUACUAGAAAUGAGAGUUCUUCACGUGUUCGAGGAAGUAUUUCAAGCGACGAGCCUUCUGAUAAUGCAAAAAGGAGGUAGUGUGUCAGGCUAACAUUAUUCUUACAUUUUGAUGUUUAGCCUGUCUCAGUUUAUGAGUUGCCCUUUCUCUUGUGUAUUGAUUAAUCCAUUACUCCAAUUUAUACUGCAGAAAGAGUCAUUCUCGUAAAAACAGCAUGUCUCCGUCACCUCCAAAAUCUAGGAGCAGGUAUAUCAAUAUUCCUCCAUUCUCUGUAAUACAUGUUAAUAGUGGGAAUUUUUUGCUAGGUAGCUCGAACAUGUUCACAUAACUAUUGUAAGGUUGACAUUGGUAGUUAUGCUGAUCAUGAAUGAUCAGAAUCAUGCUAUAGACACCAAUUUCAUUUCUCACCAUGAAGGGGUAGGGCGUUUAUGAUAAGGUGGCUCUGAAACAUCAGUGGGAUUUUGAUGUUAUGUUUAGUAUAGAACUGUGUUGCAGUACAUCUCUUCAUACAAUGCUCUUUGUAAGCAAGUGCCUCAAAACUGAGUAGUGUAGGACCUGUUUACUUCUAUUCUUUGUCAAUUUGAUAUGAAUAAGCACUGAGCAGGACUCCUCUGAGUGAAGAAACAUCAGGUUCAUAUAUUACUUAUCCUUAAACUUACCCAUUUAGUAUUAUGUUUCAUCUCUAGACGAGUUUCGCGGUCUCCACCUAGCAAGCAUUCUCACCGCAGGCAUUCACCUUAUUCAUCUGCUGAAAGGUAAGCGCUUAAUUGGUACUUUAUUUGUCAUUACAUUGUUCCAGGUGAUAUUUUGGUGUGAAUUUUCAGCAAUUUAUAGAUUCAAGUUGUUAUCUAUUCAAACUUGCUGUAGUUGAUUUCUGGGAAAUGGAUUAGUACAACAGGGCCAAAAAAGAGGACAUAUUAAGGAUGUUCAGGAUAAAAAGGGUGGUGUCAUGAAAAAUUGUGUUUUGGAUUUUGUAAGAUACCUCUGAUUAAAUCCUAAAUUUGCGCAGUUUGCCAUAGUGUCUUGUGUUGUGUCAACUUGAGAAAUUUGAAAAUAGUUUCACCUGGAACUUUGUUGAAUUGUAACUUGAGAAAUUAGAACAAGCAUUAAGGCCUCCAUGAGGUUAUCAAGUCUAGAACUUUCUGAAUUGUAUUUUGUUGCGGAGUGCAAUUGCAGGGUCGGCAUUCCAUCCAUGCUUCAUCCUAGACCUUUUCAGGAAUGCGUACCCGUGUUAUUGUGGAGCCCUGUGUGCGCUACAGCACCUGCACUGUAAUCACACUCCAUCUGUUAAACUAUGUCUAAUCAUUGCAGGAAGAAGCGGUCGAGAUCCAGAACUCCGGUCAAGAGGAGGUAGAAGAAACUAGCUGGUUUUGUUUGUUUCACCUAGGGGUGCUUGCCCUUUGUCCUUCCGAUGAAGAAACAGCAUUUGCACGCCCACGAAACAAGAUGCUGGAUCUAGCUUCCAACAAAGAAGACGACUCGACGGCUCACGUGAUGGAUGUUGUUUGAAGGAUGAUGCAUGGUGCCCAGCGGAAGAUAUGUCCGGUUUGCCAAUAUUAGGAUAUGUAAUGUCUUGUACAAGCAGCAGACUUCAUAAUUUGUAGCGCUAGCGUCCCUUUUAACUAUUUUAUUACUUGUAUUUUCUCUUAAGGUCAUGUAUUAUUAGUAUGCAAGGAGACUGGUCGAGUUUCGUCGUGACAUGCUGCGAUGUAAUUUUGUAUGGUUAUAUGCACUAGCCUAUCCCUGAAUCAUAAUUAGGUCUGGAAAAUGUGUUGCAGGCCUCCACAUGUAAUUUAUCUUAUCAUAUGGACAUGCUGGAAUUUAUUCAGCAUUCAGUUGCAGUAACUAAAGCAUCCCAUUAUAUUUUUUCUACCUUGGUUUACUGUUGACGAGUUAGAAAGCAGACUGUAAAUCAGGGAAAAUAUAUUUGAGGUGUUGUGCUGGACAUGCACGUUGUCGUGGCUUCAAAUGGAUGAGGAAAAGGCAGAUUGGUUGCACCAUGAUGUCGUGAAUAUUUCUAUUGAAUUAUGUUUUGUCCUUAAUUACUAGGCGG